UGUGAAUGCAUUAAAUCACUACACACGCA
This 29-nucleotide non-coding RNA is filed under the name Mus musculus (house mouse). Lineage: Eukaryota; Metazoa; Chordata; Mammalia; Rodentia; Muridae. The record is from RNAcentral.